Pelobates cultripes (western spadefoot toad) is the source of this 415-nucleotide non-coding RNA. The record is from the annotation of a GenBank genome assembly. Lineage: Eukaryota; Metazoa; Chordata; Amphibia; Anura; Pelobatidae.
AAACGCCACUGGAAAUCCCCAAAGAAGUCUCCUCGGAUGAGGAAGAAGAGAUGCCCCACUUCCUCUCCAUCCUGGAUGAGUGGCAGGCAGAGGUCUCGGACUCAGACGACGGCGAUUGGGGAUCCAACGCCUACGUCACAGAGACCUUUCUGGGUGAGCCCCAGACGAAAGGGGAUGCAGAGUCUCCCACGAUGACCGCUACCCAAGAACAGGAGACCUUCAUGGAUACCACGGGACAAUGCAUGUUUAACCCCAGAAAUAUACACCAUCCUCGCUCAGGGGAAUGGGCUCCACCCAACCACCUCAUGAAAUUUAUGCGUUACUGGAUUCGCAAGCCGCUGGAGAAACCCGUUCGCAAAAGGAUGCGGGCAGAGUGCCCUCGACCUUCCCUGCCAGACAAGGUGGCGUUUAUACC